This 464-nucleotide ribosomal RNA is filed under the name uncultured bacterium. RNAcentral's name for it is "partial 16S ribosomal RNA". It matches the Rfam family "Bacterial small subunit ribosomal RNA", at positions 339 to 795 of the family's 1533-position model. The record is from RNAcentral.
CUACGGGAUGCAGCAGUGGGGAAUAUUGGACAAUGGGGGAAACCCUGAUCCAGCAAUGCCGCGUGUGUGAAGAAGGCCUUAGGGUUGUAAAGCACUUUCAGUAGUGAGGAAAAGUUUAAGGCUAAUACCCUUGAACCCUGACGUUAACUACAGAAGAAGCACCGGCUAACUUCGUGCCAGCAGCCGCGGUAAUACGAAGGGUGCAAGCGUUAAUCGGAUUUACUGGGCGUAAAGCGCGCGUAGGCGGUUUGAUAAGUCGGAUGUGAAAGCCCCGGGCUCAACCUGGGAAUUGCAUUCGAUACUGUCAGGCUAGCGUAUGGUAGAGGGAAGUAGAAUUCCACGUGUAGCGGUGAAAUGCGUAGAUAUGUGGAGGAACACCAGUGGCGAAGGCGACUUCCUGGCCCAAUACUGACGCUGAGGUGCGAAAGCGUGGGGAGCAAACAGGAUUAGAUACCCCAGUAGUC